RNAcentral lists this transfer RNA (74 nucleotides) under Puccinia triticina 1-1 BBBD Race 1. Its description in RNAcentral is "tRNA-Thr (AGT) (tRNA-Thr-AGT-189-1, tRNA-Thr-AGT-189-2)". It matches the Rfam family "tRNA". From Rfam's summary of the family: Transfer RNA (tRNA) molecules are approximately 80 nucleotides in length. The record is from RNAcentral. Lineage: Eukaryota; Fungi; Basidiomycota; Pucciniomycetes; Pucciniales; Pucciniaceae.
GCGUCUGUAGCCUAGUUGGUAAAGGCAGCACUCUAGUAUAGCUAAGGUUGUGAGUUCAACUAUCACCAGACACA